Molecule: ribosomal RNA, 253 nt
Filed under: uncultured bacterium
Lineage: Bacteria
Description: partial 16S ribosomal RNA
Rfam family: Bacterial small subunit ribosomal RNA
Source: RNAcentral
UACGUAGGUGGCAAGCGUUGUCCGGAUUUAUUGGGCGUAAAGCGAACGCAGGCGGCUUCUUAAGUCUGAUGUGAGAGCCCCCGGCUUAACCGGGGAGAGUCAUUGGAAACUGGGAGGCUUGAGUGCAGAAGAGGAGAGUGGAAUUCCGUGUGUAGCGGUGAAAUGCGUAGAUAUAUGGAGGAACACCGGUGGCGAAGGCGGCUCUCUGGUCUGUAACUGACGCUGAGGCUCGAAAGCGUGGGGAGCAAACAGG